GGGGAUGUACCGGUUUCGACUGCAUUGAUAGGGCUUUAGCUGCACGUCGAUUGUGCUGGCAAAUCGUAAAAUUGUCAGGCUAAAUGUAAUUGCAGAUAACAAUCUAGCAUUAGCUGCCUAAUAGCCGCUACGUCUUUAACACUUUCCCUCCCCCGGGGGUGUUCGAGGCGAAACUAAUGGGGGAUAGCUUUUUGAUCUGAUUCCGCUCAAAAAGUAAAACUUAAGGAAAAUCGGCCCGUAGUAGGAUGGCUUUUUCUCCGGCGAACGGCUUAAAUUUAAACGAAAAAGACAAACGUGUAGACGCUACUGUUGUAUGAUGUAGGACGUGGGUUCGACUCCCACCAUCUCCAGAU
RNAcentral lists this transfer-messenger RNA (353 nucleotides) under Spirochaetota. Its description in RNAcentral is "JAFGJZ01 sp016928815 Standard tmRNA". It matches the Rfam family "transfer-messenger RNA". From Rfam's summary of the family: Bacterial tmRNA, also known as 10Sa RNA or SsrA, is named for its dual tRNA and mRNA-like properties. Its role is to liberate the mRNA from a stalled ribosome. RNAcentral also lists the same sequence under 1 other name. The record is from RNAcentral. Lineage: Bacteria; Pseudomonadati.